GGCAUGCGAGUGCUAUACAUGCAAGUCGAACGCGCGGAUCAGGAGCUUGCUCCUGUGACGCGAGUGGCGGACGGGUGAGUAACACGUAGGCAACCUGCCCAUCAGACUGGGAUAACCACGGGAAACCGUGGCUAAUACCGGAUAAUCCUUUUCCACACAGGUGGGAAAGUUGAAAGGCGGCUUUUUGUGUGACUGUGGUGUGUGGCUGUGCGGCAUUUUAUGUGUGUGGGGGGAACGCGCCCCCCCAGGGACAAUGUGCAUACGCCCUCUGAGAGGGAGCUCGCACACUGUGACUGUGACACGCGCCCCACACUCCUACGAGAGGCAACAAGAGAAUCUCUUCCAAUGUGCAAAAGAGUGUGACAGAGCCGCCGCGCGAGAGAGAAAAGGGGUCUCGUCUCAAAACUCUGUGGUGUCGGAAAAAAACCCACACGAGAGACUGUGCCCGUCGGGAGACGACCUGUGCCCAAAAACACGCGUAUCUAUACGUGCCAACACGCGCGAAUAUACAUAUGUGAAGAGCGAUAUGCGAUUAUAGUGCGCGUAGAGCGCGCAUACGCGUCGCUAUGUCUGAGAUGAAAACCCCGCGUCUCAGCGGAGAGGCAUAGUGGACUGUGGCACUCGAGAGUGCAGAGAAGAGAGUGAACCUGUGUAUAGCUGAGAUGUGCACAGAUAUAUAGAACACACAGUGGCGACGCGUCUCUGUGCUGUGCUGUGACUGUGAUGCGAAAAGCGUGAUAUCACAGAGUAUAUAUACUGUGGUACUCGCGCAUACGAUGUGAGCGCUAUGUGAUGGGGGUCGCGCCCAUAGCUGUGCUCUAGCGUAACGCACGCGUCGUGAGUACACGCGCGUUAACUCUCAGAGAUGUCGCGACACGCGUACAGCGGUACACUGGUUAUACGCAGCGCGCGCAGAAACUCUCCAACUCUGCAUCUCUUGGACACCUGGAAACAGGUCCUUCUGCCAUGUACAGGUGCCGUGGUUGCUCAAGUCUGGUCGGAAUUUGGUAGUCGGACAGGCAACUACUUAUUGCAAAUCAUUGGAACUUAGGAUUCGGUACCGGAGUGGAUGCCUAACUUGCUAUGGUACGUCAUGAC
This 1098-nucleotide ribosomal RNA is filed under the name Salinicoccus iranensis. Its description in RNAcentral is "partial 16S ribosomal RNA". The stretch from base 1 to 835 matches the Rfam family "Bacterial small subunit ribosomal RNA", at positions 38 to 873 of the family's 1533-position model. The record is from RNAcentral. Lineage: Bacteria; Bacillati; Bacillota; Bacilli; Caryophanales; Staphylococcaceae.